AGCAGCCGCGGUAAUUCCAGCUCCAAUAGCGUAUAUUAAAGUUGUUGCAGUUAAAAAGCUCGUAGUUGAAUUUCGGGGUUAGUAAGUUGGUCAUGCCUUCGGUAUGUACUGGCUUUACUGAUUCCUCCUUCUUGACGAACCGUGAUGUCAUUAAUUUGGUGUUGCGGGAAAUCAGGACUGUUACUUUGAAAAAAUUAGAGUGUUUAAAGCAGGCUAACGCUCGAAUACAUUAGCAUGGAAUAAUGAAAUAGGACGUUAAUCCUAUUUUGUUGGUUUCUAGGAUCGACGUAAUGACUAAUAGGGAUAGUUGGGGGCAUUAGUAUUCAAUUGUCAGAGGUGAAAUUCUUGGAUUUAUUGAAGACUAACUACUGCGAAAGCAUUUGCCAAGGAUGUUUUCUUUAAUCAAGAACGAAAGUUAGGGGAUCGAAGACGAUCAGAUACCGUCGUAGUCNNAACCAUAAACUAUGCC
RNAcentral lists this ribosomal RNA (469 nucleotides) under uncultured Glomus. RNAcentral's name for it is "SSU rRNA". It matches the Rfam family "Eukaryotic small subunit ribosomal RNA", at positions 569 to 1043 of the family's 1831-position model. The record is from RNAcentral. Lineage: Eukaryota; Fungi; Glomeromycota; Glomeromycetes; Glomerales; Glomeraceae.